This 495-nucleotide ribosomal RNA is filed under the name uncultured bacterium. RNAcentral's name for it is "partial 16S ribosomal RNA". It matches the Rfam family "Bacterial small subunit ribosomal RNA", at positions 28 to 507 of the family's 1533-position model. The record is from RNAcentral.
GACGAACGCUGGCGGCGUGCCUAAUACAUGCAAGUCGAACGCUGAAGGAGGAGCUUGCUUCUCUGGAUGAGUUGCGAACGGGUGAGUAACGCGUAGGUAACCUGCCUGGUAGCGGGGGAUAACUAUUGGAAACGAUAGCUAAUACCGCAUAAGAGUAGAUGUCGCAUGACAUUUGCUUAAAAGGUGCAAUUGCAUCACUACCAGAUGGACCUGCGUUGUAUUAGCUAGUUGGUGAGGUAACGGCUCACCAAGGCAACGAUACAUAGCCGACCUGAGAGGGUGAUCGGCCACACUGGGACGGAGACACGGCCCAGACUCCUACGGGAGGCAGCAGUAGGGAAUCUUCGGCAAGGGACGGAAGUCUGAACGAGCAACGCCGCGUGAGUGAAGAAGGGUGUCGGAUCGUAAAGCUCUGUUGUAAGAGAAGAACGAGUGUGAGAGUGGAAAGUUCACACUGUGACGGUAUCUUACCAGAAAGGGACGGCUAACUACGUG